GGAUUCAGCCACCUUCUGGAUCCUAUUGGCCAGGAUCUUUGCAAUGAACUUGUAGAGAAGAUUGCAAAGGGAGAUAGGCCUGAAAUCAGAGAGAGAGGUAGCCCCAUCUUUUUUAGGGAUGAGGCAGA
Telopea speciosissima is the source of this 128-nucleotide long non-coding RNA. RefSeq lists it as uncharacterized. The record is from RefSeq and is a predicted model, not a curated record. NCBI's taxonomy places the organism in Eukaryota, Viridiplantae, Streptophyta, Magnoliopsida, Proteales, Proteaceae. The transcript has 3 exons.